ACGGAAGGCAGCAGUGGGGAAUAUUGGGCAAUGGGCGCAAGCCUGACCCAGCAACGCCGCGUGAAGGAAGAAGGCUUUCGGGUUGUAAACUUCUUUUACCAGGGACGAAGGACGUGACGGUACCUGGAGAAAAAGCAACGGCUAACUACGUGCCAGCAGCCGCGGUAAUACGUAGGUUGCAAGCGUUGUCCGGAUUUACUGGGUGUAAAGGGCGUGUAGGCGGAGCUGCAAGUCAGAUGUGAAAUCCCGGGGCUCAACCCCGGAACUGCAGUUGAAACUGUAGCCCUUGAGUAUCGGAGAGGCAAGCGGAAUUCCUAGUGUAGCGGUGAAAUGCGUAGAUAUUAGGAGGAACACCAGUGGCGAAGGCGGCUUGCUGGACUACAACUGACGCUGAGGCGCGAAGGCGUGGGGAUCAAACAGGAUUAGAUACCCUGGUA
Molecule: ribosomal RNA, 437 nt
Rfam family: Bacterial small subunit ribosomal RNA